RNAcentral lists this non-coding RNA (28 nucleotides) under Rattus norvegicus (Norway rat). The record is from RNAcentral. Lineage: Eukaryota; Metazoa; Chordata; Mammalia; Rodentia; Muridae.
UACACUCUCUUCUUCAGCCUGCCCAAAC